Molecule: long non-coding RNA, 854 nt
Filed under: Cricetulus griseus (Chinese hamster)
Lineage: Eukaryota; Metazoa; Chordata; Mammalia; Rodentia; Cricetidae
Description: lncRNA (ENSCGRG00015002856.2)
Source: RNAcentral
GAAGAACUGGGUCAGGUAGCUUCAGGUUCUCUCUGCCAAGAAGAGACAACUUAAUGGAUGGACUUGGAGCUUAAUGCUCUCCUUCUGUUCUUCACUAAGGUGUUUUGAUUGUUCUUGGCCCUUGGAGGAGGAGGAAGGAGUCAUAAAAGUGACAUUGUAGAAGCUGUUACUGAGCAAGAAGCCACGAAGAUGUAGAUGAUGCCUACAUGUGGAUUCGUUGGCAAGAACAGAGCAAGUCAGAAAAUGCCCCUCCCUGGGGGGUGGGGGGCCUGACAUUUGAAGGUCAUGCAUGAGAAGGGGCUGUGUGCUACAUAGAAUGGCAGUGCCUGCUCCUGACGAUGCCAGCCGCACCAUCCCCAGAGCACAGAUCCAUUCUUCAGAGUGAACCCAGGGAGCUCCUCAGACAGACGCUUAGUGAAACCCCUCUUCAUCAUUGUAUUCAUGGGGACCUCCCGGAAACACAGCAAGCUCUGAAGAUCACGGUGAGGAUGAGGUCAGCCAAAGUCUACAUGGAGCUAGAAUUCUUCAGAUUUGCUGCUUAUGUCACCACAAUCCUGCUGCUCAAAGAGAUCUAAGCUACCAGAGCAGAAAGUCCCAGCCAUCCAUCCCAGGAAGCCCCUUUCUCGAGAUCUGGUCCACUGAACUUUUCUUCUCUCAUUACGAGCUGCCUGCCUGGGGAGUUUAAAGGCUUUGCCAGAGGGCUUCAUCUCAUAUGUCCUUUCUCAUUUCCUAGGGCAUAAAAAUGCUGGAUUGAAUUUACUAACAGUAAAUUCAUGUGUGUGUUCUCCUGGUUCAUUUUCACCCAGACAGAAAAAAAGAGCAACACCAAUAAAUUAAUUUAAUUUUUUCAUUAA